This 178-nucleotide unclassified non-coding RNA is filed under the name soil metagenome. RNAcentral describes it as "partial contains 5.8S ribosomal RNA, internal transcribed spacer 2, and large subunit ribosomal RNA". The record is from RNAcentral.
AACAAGGCGUACCUGCGGACCUGCGGAGGGAUCAUUACCGAGUUCACAACUCCCAAACCCACCGCGAACCCGCAGGACUUUCUCGGCCGCCCCCCGGGCGGCCGGCGCAAACCCCCUGUAUCUCGGACGGAUUCUCUGAGUCUCACCGUAACGAAUCAAAACUUUUAACAAUGGAUCU